This 1144-nucleotide long non-coding RNA is filed under the name Heterocephalus glaber (naked mole-rat). RNAcentral's name for it is "lncRNA (ENSHGLG00100051558.1)". The record is from RNAcentral. Lineage: Eukaryota; Metazoa; Chordata; Mammalia; Rodentia; Bathyergidae.
CCCUGGUCCUGGCCUCUGGCUUGCCUGCUCAGCAGUCCAGCCGGGGGAGAGUCCAGGGCAGAGUCCUGUGGCUUAGGGCCUGGGAGAGGCCAGCAUGGGAACCUGGACUGUCCAGUGCCCGAGGGCUGUUGCUGUCAUCCCCAGGGAGAUGGGGACUGGUCCUGGGGGAAUGGAACAGGACCUCCCUUCCGCGUACCCCGAGUUGCCAUGUCAGCCUUGUUAAGUCACAGUCCGGGACCUGGACCAGGGCUCUCAGGACGGGCUCCUGGAGUGUCCAGGGGCUGCUGGGAGCUGGCUCAGGGGGGAGAGGACCACUUCUCUACCCCAUCCUGGCUCCCAUCCUGCCUCAGCCCAUGCCACAGGCCAGAGCCCUUGUUGCUGACUGUUCUGCGCCUGACGAUUGAGCAGAGCUGAGGACACACAAAAGACACAAACACAAAAGGAAAGCCACCCAGCGCAUGGACACAAAGCCAGACCCAGGGACCAAGCCACAGGCCAGUGUGUGCAGUGCCAUGGAUGCCAGGAGCAGGGAGCGGACCAGGACACCGAGGGGCUACAAGCUACAGUGAUGGUGCUAAAGAGCCAGGAUGUCUUGGAAUCUGUACAACUGCCGUUCGCCAUUCACCAAUCUGCAUUGAAGCUCUGGGGACUUCCAGGCCUUGUGAAGUCGGGGCUUCAUGGAGGAGGUGAUACCUGAGCUUGGGAGUCAGAGAACAGGCAAAACUUCACCGAGUCACACACUUACAAAAAUAUUUUGCUUCCUUUAAGCCACUUGUUCCGGGCUGGAAUACAACAAUGCUGAACAUGGAUUGUGAGUGAAUUGAUGAAGAGGUAAAACGACACCACAAUGCAGAAGGGUGCCAUAUAUGAAGCCAUUGGGCACCAAUAUGAGAGGCAGUAAAUCACCCCAGCCGAUUAAGUGCCUUCCCCCAAUAAAACCCAGAUAAUCCCCACACCAAGAGUUGAUCCUUGCGCUCAGGCCAUUCCAAGUUAUCAGCCCAUUUCCCUUCCUGUUGUCCAGCACUCUCACCCACCUCUCUGCUUACUCCGAAGCAGGAAGAGCAGACAUGGGGGUGGGAGUGGGAAGCAGCCUCAGAUCCAGUCGCAGUGGCGACAGCAGCAUCCAUGGCAGCAGAGGGCUGAC